This 497-nucleotide ribosomal RNA is filed under the name uncultured bacterium. RNAcentral describes it as "partial 16S ribosomal RNA". It matches the Rfam family "Bacterial small subunit ribosomal RNA", at positions 28 to 507 of the family's 1533-position model. The record is from RNAcentral.
GACGAACGCUGGCGGCGUGCCUAAUACAUGCAAGUUGAGCGCUGAAGGUUGGUACUUGUACCAACUGGAUGAGCAGCGCACGGGUGAGUAACGCGUGGGGAAUCUGCCUUUGAGCGGGGGACAACAUUUGGAAACGAAUGCUAAUACCGCAUAAAAACUUUAAACACAAGUUUUAAGUUUGAAAGAUGCAAUUGCAUCACUCAAAGAUGAUCCCGCGUUGUAUUAGCUAGUUGGUGAGGUAAAGGCUCACCAAGGCGAUGAUACGUAGCCGACCUGAGAGGGUGAUCGGCCACAUUGGGACUGAGACACGGCCCAAACUCCUACGGGAGGCAGCAGUAGGGAAUCUUCGGCAAUGGACGAAAGUCUGACCGAGCAACGCCGCGUGAGUGAAGAAGGUUUUCGGAUCGUAAAACUCUGUUGGUAGAGAAGAACGUUGGCGAGAGUGGAAAGCUCAUCAAGUGACGGUAACUACCCAGAAAGGGACGGCUAACUACGUG